AGGGUGCUUCAAGAUGGCUCCUGUUCAUAACAGACCCAUUAGGAACUUGGGGUCACUGUGAGGACAGGCACAAAAGGUGUGAUCUAAGAAUAAGUACCCUACAUGU
Nannospalax galili (Upper Galilee mountains blind mole rat) is the source of this 106-nucleotide small nucleolar RNA. Lineage: Eukaryota; Metazoa; Chordata; Mammalia; Rodentia; Spalacidae. The record is from Ensembl.